Molecule: long non-coding RNA, 405 nt
Organism: Hirundo rustica (Barn swallow)
Lineage: Eukaryota; Metazoa; Chordata; Aves; Passeriformes; Hirundinidae
Exons: 4
Source: RefSeq, a predicted model, not a curated record
GUAAUUUGGGGCUUCUCACCUGUCUAGGUGAGCUCUGAUACUAGAGCAUAUUUAAAACAUAGAGUGGAAUAAGGAUUCUCAGCUUUGGGAGCUGAAGAAACUUUUUUUUUUAUAUUCUAGCAUAUGCAGAACUUCAUGCUGAGGAGAAUUUUAUAGAUGUAUUGGUGCUGGUUCAGGUGCAUGAUCUGAAGCAUAUACAAGAAACCACAGGAAAAGAGACCUGGUUCUUGCCUAAAAAACCCCGGGUCUCUCAGCUGCUCCUCAUCAGACUCAUGAUCCAGACCCUUCCUGGGCUCCAUUGUCCUUCUCUGGAAUAUUCGGGAACUACCACAAUUCCUUCUCUGACAAGAUAACUUUUAUUUUAGACCUUUGUCCCCAUGAAUAAACGUAACAUAUCAGUCUCUC